Molecule: ribosomal RNA, 274 nt
Filed under: Nicotiana attenuata
Lineage: Eukaryota; Viridiplantae; Streptophyta; Magnoliopsida; Solanales; Solanaceae
Description: rRNA LSU_rRNA_eukarya
Rfam family: Eukaryotic large subunit ribosomal RNA
Source: Rfam by way of RNAcentral
CUGACAUGUCUGCGAGUCAACGGGCGAGUAAACCCGGAAGGCGUAAGGAAGCUGAUUGGUGGGAUCCCCCUGAGGGGUGCACCGCCGACCGACCUUGAUCUUCUGUGAAGGGUUUGAGUGUGAGCAUACCUGUCGGGACACGAAAGAUGGUGAACUAUGCCUGAGCGGGGCGAAGCUAGAGGAAACUCUGGUGGAGGCCCGCAGCGAUACUAACGUGGAAAUCGUUCGUCUGACUUGGGUAUAGGAGCGAAAGACUAAACCGUCUAGUAGCUGG